GUGGGGAAUCUUAGACAAUGGGGGCAACCCUGAUCUAGCCAUGCCGCGUGAGUGAUGAAGGCCUUAGGGUCGUAAAGCUCUUUCGCUGGGGAAGAUAAUGACGGUACCCAGUAAAGAAACCCCGGCUAACUCCGUGCCAGCAGCCGCGGUAAUACGGAGGGGGUUAGCGUUGUUCGGAAUUACUGGGCGUAAAGCGCGCGUAGGCGGAUUGGAAAGUUGGGGGUGAAAUCCCGGGGCUCAACCCUGGAAUGGCCUUCAAAACUCCCAGUCUUGAGGUCGAGAGAGGUGAGUGGAAUUCCGAGUGUAGAGGUGAAAUUCGUAGAUAUUCGGAGGAACACCAGUGGCGAAGGCGGCUCACUGGUCCAUUACUGACGCUGAGGUGCGAAAGCGUGGGGAGCAAACAGGAUUAGAUACCCCAGUAGUCC
RNAcentral lists this ribosomal RNA (425 nucleotides) under uncultured bacterium. RNAcentral describes it as "bacterial SSU rRNA". It matches the Rfam family "Bacterial small subunit ribosomal RNA", at positions 354 to 796 of the family's 1533-position model. The record is from RNAcentral.